This 349-nucleotide ribosomal RNA is filed under the name Klebsiella pneumoniae. RNAcentral describes it as "partial 23S ribosomal RNA". It matches the Rfam family "Bacterial large subunit ribosomal RNA", at positions 2111 to 2459 of the family's 2925-position model. Lineage: Bacteria; Pseudomonadati; Pseudomonadota; Gammaproteobacteria; Enterobacterales; Enterobacteriaceae. The record is from RNAcentral.
UUGACACUGAACAUUGAGCCUUGAUGUGUAGGAUAGGUGGGAGGCUUUGAAGCGUGGACGCCAGUCUGCGUGGAGCCAACCUUGAAAUACCACCCUUUAAUGUUUGAUGUUCUAACGUUGGCCCCUUACCGGGGUUGCGGACAGUGUCUGGUGGGUAGUUUGACUGGGGCGGUCUCCUCCCAAAGCGUAACGGAGGAGCACGAAGGUUAGCUAAUCCUGGUCGGACAUCAGGAGGUUAGUGCAAUGGCAUAAGCUAGCUUGACUGCGAGCGUGACGGCGCGAGCAGGUGCGAAAGCAGGUCAUAGUGAUCCGGUGGUUCUGAAUGGAAGGGCCAUCGCUCAACGGAUAA